This is a long non-coding RNA of Saccostrea cuccullata (small rock oyster), 186 nucleotides long. RefSeq lists it as uncharacterized. Lineage: Eukaryota; Metazoa; Mollusca; Bivalvia; Ostreida; Ostreidae. The record is from RefSeq and is a predicted model, not a curated record. The transcript is spliced from 4 exons.
GGUGUUUCUCUUGCUGUCUACAAAUUUCGCAAAAAAUUCAUAUUCCACCGAAUGUCAAAGAACCCUUUAGAUGAUACAGAUGCCAUGGUAAAAUUUUUUAAUGAUGAUGCAGAAGAAGCAAAACCAGAAACAUACCUCACAGAUAUCCUAGAGGAUAAUAUUGAAGAAAAGGGGUUUGAGCAGGGG